GAUGAACGCUGGCGGCGUGCCUAAUACAUGCAAGUCGAGCGAACGGACGAGAAGCUUGCUUCUCUGAUGUUAGCGGCGGACGGGUGAGUAACACGUGGACAACCUACCUAUAAGACUGGGAUAACUUCGGGAAGCCGUAGCUAAUACCGGAUAAUAUUUUGAACCGCAUGGUUCAAAAGUGAAAGACGGUCUUGCUGUCACUUAUAGAUGGAUCCGCGCUGCAUUAGCUAGUUGGUAAGGUAACGGCUUACCAAGGCAACGAUGCAUAGCCGACCUGAGAGGGUGAUCGGCCACACUGGAACUGAGACACGGUCCAGACUCCUACGGGAGGCAGCAGUAGGGAAUCUUCCGCAAUGGGCGAAAGCCUGACGGAGCAACGCCGCGUGAGUGAUGAAGGUCUUCGGAUCGUAAAACUCUGUUAUUAGGGAAGAACAUAUGUGUAAGUAACUGUGCACAUCUUGACGGUACCUAAUCAGAAAGCCACGGCUAACUACGUG
This 497-nucleotide ribosomal RNA is filed under the name uncultured bacterium. RNAcentral describes it as "partial 16S ribosomal RNA". It matches the Rfam family "Bacterial small subunit ribosomal RNA", at positions 28 to 507 of the family's 1533-position model. The record is from RNAcentral.